Neocloeon triangulifer is the source of this 2281-nucleotide long non-coding RNA. RefSeq lists it as uncharacterized. NCBI's taxonomy places the organism in Eukaryota, Metazoa, Arthropoda, Insecta, Ephemeroptera, Baetidae. The record is from RefSeq and is a predicted model, not a curated record. The transcript is spliced from 6 exons.
CACCACCAAAUUAACAAAAUUUGUCCUAAAUAUCAUAACCCAAUUUUUUAGCGGAUGUUUUAGAGUUUAAUGUAAUCAUCUUCCGUAUCAAAUUAGGCUAGCUGUUGGUGACACACGCAUGCUGUGAACCCUUCACAUUCUGAAAUGUUUAUUGUGCAUAGCGCGCUUUACUACAAAGUGAAGCCCAAGCCAAAGAAGCGCUGCUGCAAAAUGACGAGGGUCAGCAGGGAGAGAGUACCAAAGUUCAUCAUCAGCAUGACCAUGAAUAAAAGACGGUUCGCUGCCAGACGGUGAUGUUCUUCAAUGUGAAGAGUAGCAGCCGACUCGCACAUCUGCGGAACACAUCGACCGCACCAACGCACACCAACCAAGAGUAAUGACCAGGACCAGCUAGGAGCCGGCGGAGGAUCCGGCUCAAGUAGCUGAAAUGGUUAAAGAUGAGUCAAUGUGAAGCCCAAGCCAAGGAAGCGCUGCUGCAAAAUGAGGAGGGUCAGCAGGGAGAUGAGAGUGCCCAAGUUCAUGCUGAUCAACAUGACCAUGACGACCGUUCACUGCCAGACGGUGAAUGUGAAGAGCAGUAGCAGACUCGCACACCUGCAGUACACAUCGACCAGCAACGCACACCGUCCAAGAAAAAUAACCAUGACCAGAAGCUGCAGGAUCCGGCUCAAGUAGCUGAAAAGUUUAAAGAUGAGGAGUCUGCUGCUGGUUUUCAAAAUUAAAUUGGCGGUAAAUGUGAAGCCCAAGCCAAGGAAGCGCCGCUGCGAAAUGAGGAGGGUCAGCAGGAGGGAGACGAGAGUGCCCAAGUUCAUGCUGAUCAGCAUGACCUUGAAGACCGUUCGCUGCCAGACGGUGAAUAUGAAGAGCAGCAGACUCGCACAGCUGCGGAACACAUUGACCAGCAAUGCAAACCGUCCGAGAAAAAUGACCCUGACCAGAAGCUGCAGGAUCCGGCUCAAGUAGCUGAAAAGUUUAAAGAUGAGGAGUCUGCUGCUGGUUUGCAAAAUCAAAUUGGCAGACAAAGUGAAGCCCAAGCCAAAGAAGCGCUGCUGCAAAAUGACGAGGGUCAGCAAGAGAGAGUGCCAAAGUUCAUCAGCAUGACCAUGAAGACGGUUCGCCAGACGGUGAUGUUCUUCAAUGUGAAGAGCAGCAGCAGACCUCGCACAUCUGCGGAACACAUCGAUCAUUAACCAAGAGAAAUGACCCGGCAGGACCAGAAGCCGGAGGAUCCGGCUCAAGUAGCUGAAAUGGUUAAAGAUGAGGAGUCUGCUGCUGGCCUAGAAAAUCAAAUUGGCAAACAAACUGAAGCCCAAGCUGGAGAAGCGCUGCUGAAAAAUAACGUGUCUCCGCAACUCAUCGUUCACCACCUGCCUCCAACCAAGAGUACCGACCAGAAGCUGGAGGAUCAAACUGAAGCUCGAGCCGAAGAAUUUAAGCCAGUAAUUUCAACAAGGAUGUUCAAAAGCAAGAAGAACCAGCUGAAUAAAGUGAGCCUGUUGAAGAAAAACAGCCAGCAAGAGUAGAACAGGCUGCAGGUUCUGUAGAAGAGCCUGUGGUUUUGACUUUUCCAGUUGUUGGUCCACGAACUGCUUAUAACUACUUCAGGUCAAAGAGAGGUGCGCAGACCUGAAGGACAUGGAUCCUCAGCCAAAGAGGAUCAACAAAAUUGUCUCCAGCGAGUGGAAGAAAUUAUCCAUCGAGGAGAGGGCCAAGUUUGAGAGGAUAUGGCUUUUGAGGAUAAACUGCGUUAUCAAUAUCAACUAGAGUUAUCCAGAUAUGAGGACCAACAGGGGCAGCAGGCCAAUUUAUGAUUUGAUUUUCUAAUUGUUGGGUAGGGUUCUUAAAACAAAAGUGCAAAUGUUUUUGUUCUAGCAAGUUAAGGUUUUGUCAAAUUGAUGACUUUGUCUCCAUUUCAAAUAAAUUAUAUGUAUAGUGUUGAAAUAACAAUGAAAAAAUAUCCGAUUUUUGCCCUCAAUAAAAUUCACAUAUAAUUGAAUAUUUUCAAUAACUAAAACAUAUUUGCAGCAGUGAAUUAACACAUCCCCAACACAUUAUAUAAACAAUAACGGAAUUACAACCUUAAAAAAAAAAACAUGUUUUGUAUCCCAGGUGAAAUUUAGUUGAAAAAGGGGUUAGGAGGUAUCAGCAGAAAUAAAUAUAAUUUUAUAAUUAACUUUUAGAUUUAUUAAGUUAUUGUAAAACAAAAAUUAUUUGUGAUCAAAAUAUUAACAUAUCUUAAACAAUAAAAAAAAUGUGCAUGCUUGUAUUAUAUAUACAGCAU